This 437-nucleotide ribosomal RNA is filed under the name uncultured bacterium. RNAcentral describes it as "bacterial SSU rRNA". It matches the Rfam family "Bacterial small subunit ribosomal RNA", at positions 954 to 1391 of the family's 1533-position model. The record is from RNAcentral.
GCAUAACGCGAAGAACCUUACCAGGUCUUGACAUCCCUCUGACCGGUCUGGAGACAGGCCUUCCCUUCGGGGCAGAGGAGACAGGUGGUGCAUGGUUGUCGUCAGCUCGUGUCGUGAGAUGUUGGGUUAAGUCCCGCAACGAGCGCAACCCUUGAUCUUAGUUGCCAGCACUUUGGGUGGGCACUCUAAGAUGACUGCCGGUGACAAACCGGAGGAAGGUGGGGAUGACGUCAAAUCAUCAUGCCCCUUAUGACCUGGGCUACACACGUACUACAAUGGUCGGUACAACGGGAAGCGAAGCCGCGAGGUGGAGCCAAUCCUCUAAAGCCGAUCUCAGUUCGGAUUGCAGGCUGCAACUCGCCUGCAUGAAGUCGGAAUUGCUAGUAAUCGCGGAUCAGCAUGCCGCGGUGAAUACGUUCCCGGGUCUUGUACACACC